AGUGAACGCUGGCGGUAGGCCUAACACAUGCAAGUCGAACGGCAGCACAGUAAGAGCUUGCUCUUACGGGUGGCGAGUGGCGGACGGGUGAGGAAUACAUCGGAAUCUACUUUUUCGUGGGGGUUAACGUAGGGAAACUUACGCUAAUACCGCAUACGACCUACGGGUGAAAGCAGGGGAACUUCGGACCUUGCGCGAUUGAAUGAGCCGAUGUCGGAUUAGCUAGUUGGCGGGGUAAAGGCCCACCAAGGCGACGAUCCGUAGCUGGUCUGAGAGGAUGAUCAGCCACACUGGAACUGAGACACGGUCCAGACUCCUACGGGAGGCAGCAGUGGGGAAUGUUGGACAAUGGGCGCAAGCCUGAUCCAGCCAUACCGCGUGGGUGAAGAAGGCCUUCGGGUUGUAAAGCCCUUUUGUUGGGAAAGAAAAGCAGCAGGUUAAUACCCCGCUGUUCUGACGGUACCCAAAGAAUAAGCACCGGCUAACUUCGUG
RNAcentral lists this ribosomal RNA (492 nucleotides) under uncultured bacterium. RNAcentral describes it as "partial 16S ribosomal RNA". It matches the Rfam family "Bacterial small subunit ribosomal RNA", at positions 29 to 507 of the family's 1533-position model. The record is from RNAcentral.